RNAcentral lists this ribosomal RNA (432 nucleotides) under uncultured bacterium. Its description in RNAcentral is "bacterial SSU rRNA". It matches the Rfam family "Bacterial small subunit ribosomal RNA", at positions 774 to 1204 of the family's 1533-position model. The record is from RNAcentral.
AGUCAAUAGAUACCCUGGUAGUCCACGCCGUAAACGAUGAGUACUAGGUGUAGGAGGUAUCGACUCCUUCUGUGCCGCAGUUAACACAAUAAGUACUCCGCCUGGGAAGUACGGUCGCAAGAUUAAAACUCAAAGGAAUUGACGGGGGCCCGGCACAAGCAGCGGAGCAUGUGGUUUAAUUCGAAGCAACGCGAAGAACCUUACCUAGACUUGACAUCUCCUGAAUAGUGUAGAGAUACAUGAAGCCCUUCGGGGCAGGAAGACAGGUGGUGCAUGGUUGUCGUCAGCUCGUGUCGUGAGAUGUUGGGUUAAGUCCCGCAACGAGCGCAACCCUUAUUACUAGUUGCUACCAUUAAGUUGAGCACUCUAGUGAGACUGCCCGGGGUUAACCGGGAGGAAGGCGGGGAUGACGUCAAAUCAUCAUGCCCCUUA